CCCAAUCUCCCGCUGAGUGUUCUGAGAGGCGUUGGGUCAGGAUGUAAUGAAGAGGGUGGGGUGAGAGAAGAGCGGCUCACCUGACUGCAGAGCUCCAGGUUCUGGGAGUACACAGCUAUCUGCCGUCUUGGCUGCUGCUCCUCUGACAGCUGCACAGGGAGUCAUGUGCUGCGACGGCUCUUCUGUUGCUGACAAGCUAGGCUGGCCCUGAAUAAACAGCACUUCAUCAUCAACACAACCCAACUGUAGACACAGCUGAAGAAAGAAGCAAGCCAGUCCUCUUGAAUCGCUGAUUACAAGGCCAGUUACCCUUGGCAUGUGCAGUGUCUGGAUUGCACAGUUUGUCUGUGUCUGGUUUUUCCUGGGGCUUGAGACAUCACAUUAGUGAGGCUCACAGAACAUCUAUCUUAGCUACUCCCAGCUUCAGGCACAGUUUUUGCAGACAGCUCCUUCUGAGCCAGACUGAAUGGGCGAGAAGUAGACCUGCAGCAUCUGCUGGACCCUGAGCCACAAGCAUGAUCUAGGAAAACUCCAUAUCUAGCUCCCUGAUUUUCCCUCAUCUUUCUCGACUUUGUUCUCACUCUCAUCCUAAAAGGCCACUCAGAAUGCCAGUAUGCCCAACAUGUGGCUAGAAGUCUGGGCAAAAAACAAUUUUUCUCCUAUUCACAUCUUGAUCUGUAGUCCCCAGCAUUAACUUACUGAGCAGGGACUUCUAGAGAAAUGCCUUGUGCAUAAUUGCAAUUCAGACACUCAACAAGUGAGCUGUAUUAUUCAGUUAUGGAUGCAUUUUCUGCAUCUAAUGUGGAAAAUCUUGCAUAGGCUGAGGUUACUCUUGCUUGGAAUGCACUGUCCCUCCUGUCCACGGCUCCCCACCAAACCUUGCCUGUUUCACUCCACACUUCUUUCUCCUCUUGGAGUUACCUCCAAUUUUUCUAUACUAAAAAAUGACACCAACCCCAUUCUUUUUGCAAAAAGUUUUUUAAAGGUUCAUUCAUUUAUUUGAAAGUCAGAGUUAUAGAGAAGGAGAGGCAGAGGCAGACAGAAAGAAAGAGAGAGAGAUAGAGAGAUAGAGAUAGAGAUAGAGAGAGAUGAUAGAGAUCUUCCAUCUACUAGUUCACUCCCCAAAUGGUGCCAGUGGUCACUGCUAGGCCAGGCCAGAGCCAGAGCUUCAUUCUGGUCUCCCAUGGACUUUGAUCAUCUUCUGCUGCUUUUCCAGGUCCAUUUUCAGGGAGCUAGAUCAGAAAUGGAGCAGCCAGGACUUGAAUCGGCACCCAUAUGGGAUGCUGGCACUGCAGGUAGUGACUUUACCUGCUAUGCCACAGCAGCACCAGUCCCCCCAGAUGUGUUCUAGAAGAGGGGUUCCUCACUUGUGUUUGGUAAUAGUCCUUAUGUUUCAAACUAGAAGCAAAAGCCAUAAUAACUUAGAUGGUCUCUGUGCCCUCAGACAAAUCUUAUUUCAAGGUGAAAAAAGUAGCUGAAAAUCAUAGCACUUCUAUGAGUCUGGAAGAAACAGGCUGCUCAGCCCACCCUCUAACACGCCAUCCACUGGUCCUUUAACACUUGACUGCUGACCUCCUGAUGGAGAAACAUGAGGCAAGAUUCAGAGGUGGCUUUCUGCACUCUACCUUCCCCUCUGCCCGGCGAGGGGAGAGAGGGCAUCCAAAAAUUAAUCACAAGGGACUGGCAUUAUGUAGCAUGUUCAGUCACCACCUGUGGCACUGCAUCUAUUAUUGGCGAACAGGUUAAAGUCCCAGCUGCUCUACUUCUAAUAUAGUUCACUGCUAAUGACCUGGGAAGAUGGUCCAAAUGCUUGGGCCCCUGCCACACAC
Oryctolagus cuniculus (rabbit) is the source of this 1829-nucleotide non-coding RNA. The record is from RefSeq and is a predicted model, not a curated record. Lineage: Eukaryota; Metazoa; Chordata; Mammalia; Lagomorpha; Leporidae.